CUGCAUGUUUGAAAAAAAAAAAAUUCUGCUCCUCAUUCCCAUGAGGAGCAUGAAUAUAUGUAUAACAUGCUACAGAAAACAAGGAGUUUUCAGGGCUGCCAGUCUUGCAGAAAAGACUGAGUGGUAGUAUAGGUCUCCUACAUAU
This is a non-coding RNA of Opisthocomus hoazin, 145 nucleotides long. The record is from Rfam. Lineage: Eukaryota; Metazoa; Chordata; Aves; Opisthocomiformes; Opisthocomidae.